RNAcentral lists this long non-coding RNA (3236 nucleotides) under Homo sapiens (human). Its description in RNAcentral is "HSALNT0368774". The record is from RNAcentral. Lineage: Eukaryota; Metazoa; Chordata; Mammalia; Primates; Hominidae.
UAAGUCUAGUGUCUUUACUUAAUAGAUGAAGAAACAGAGGUUACAUUUCCAACUUGUCCAAGUCUAUGAAGCUUGUUUUUUUGUUUCACAUAUAUAAAGACAGAUUGAAUGUGUCAAUUCCAAACCAUUAAUUGAACAUCUAUUUUUGUUAUGUUAGAGAAUUCAAAGGUCGAUAAAAUGCAAUUUCUUUUUAAAAUUUUUUCAAGGGACAGUGUUUCCUUCUGUCACCUAGGCUGGUCUCAAACUCCUGACCUCAAGUGAUCCUCUUGCCUCGGCCUCCCAAAGCACUGGGAUUAUAAGCAUGAACCACUGUACCCAGCCCAAAAUGCAAUUCCUAUUUUUAAAAAGCUUUCUUCUUGCCAGGUAUGGUGGCUCGUGCCUGUAAUUUUACCACUUUGGAAGGAUGAGGUGGGAGGAUCACUUGAGACCAGUUUGAGCAACUUAGUGAGACCCAGUUGCUGGGCAUGGUGUCAUGCCUCUGUAGUCCUAGUUGAGGCUGAGGUGGGAGGAUCACUAGAGCCUGGGAGGUCAAGGCUGCAGUGAGCUGUUAUCACACCACUGCACUCCAGCCUGGGUGACAGAGUGAGAACCUGUCUUAAAAACAAACAAACAAAAACACUUUUCAUCUAAACAGCAGUUUAGGCAGUUAAGAUAAACAGUAGUGAUUAUUCAUUAAGUGCUUACUAAUACAUUAUUUUAUUUCAUGUUUACAACAAUCCAAUGGAAUAGAUCAUAUUAUCCCCAUUUAACAAAUAUGAAAAGGCAAACUCAGAGGUAGUGUUGCUAAAUUGUAUUAAGCUUUUACUAGGUGCCACAAUUGUUCUACAUGUUUUACCUCCAUUUAUAAAUUCAUUUAAUGCCCCAGGCUUGACUAGGGAAGGAUCCACUUCCAAACUCAGUCAUGUGUAUUUAUUGGUCUCAGGUCCCAUUGGCUGUUGGACAGAGACAGUUCCUUGCUAUUUGGGCCUCUCCAAAGCAGCCUUCACAACAUGGCAGCUUGCUUUCCCUGGAGGAAGGGCUGAGAAAGAUUGAAGUUUAAAUCUUUGUAACCUAACCUCAGCAAUGACUUUUCAUAUCACCAUGGCCAUUUUCUAUUCAUUAGAAGCAAGUCACUAGAUCCAGCCCCCACUCAAAAGUAAGGAUUAGACAGGGUGUCAACAGCAGGAGUCAGGGAUCACAGAUCACCCCACAGGCUGCCCACCACAGCAAGGUUACUUUAAUAAUUCAAAAUCAAUCUAUGUAAUGUGUCAUAUUAAUAGUACAAAGGAGAAAAAUAUGAUCACCUCAAUAGAUUAAAAAAAUAUUUGGGCCAGGCACAGUGGCUUACUCCUGUAAUCCUAGCAGUUUGGGAGGCCGAGGUGGGCGGAUCACUUGAGGUCAGGAGUUCAAGACCAACCUGGCCAACAUGGUGAAAGCCUGCCUCUACUAAAAAAAAAAAAAUACAAAAAUUAGCCGGGUGUGAUGGCUGGGGCUUGUAGUCCCAGCUACUCAGGAGCCUGAGGCAGGAGAAUGGCUUGAACCUGGGAGACGGAGGUUGCAGUGAGCCAAGAUCAUGCUGUUGCACUCCAGCCUGGGCGACAGAGCGAGACUCUGUCUUAAAAAAAAAAAAAAAGAAAUAUUUGAUAAAAUUUAAUAUCCACUGAUGAUAAAAAUCCUUAGCAAACUAGAAAUGGGAGCAAUUGUUCUUAUUCUGGAAAUAAGAUAUAAAAUAACAUAUAGUAGAUUGCACUUCUUUGCCCCUCCUGUUUCACACCUUUUGCUAUAUAAUUUUGCAAUGCCCUCAAUCAUGGGCAAAGUUACCCUUGACUCUGGACUCAGGCAUAUGACUUGCUUUGGCCAGUGGGAUAUUGGCAUAUGUGAUGCAAGUAAAAAUUUGAAAUGAGCUUGCCUACUGGGGUUUGCUUUUUUGUUCUUCUACUCUUUACCAUGAAAAGAACCUGCCUAAGCUGCUCCUUCUGGUUCCAGGAAGAAGAUAUGAAAUGCGUAGAACAUGAGUUCUCCAGCUAAGGUACUCAGUCAAGCCUAGCUGAGAACAGAGCUCCUAGCUGAGCUGCAGAUGCAUGCAUGAGCUCAGCCAAGACCAGCAGAGUGAUCUAGCUAAGCAUAGCCCAGAUCACCUGAUUGCCACAUAUGUGUAAGACAUAAGUAUCUAUUGUUAUAUAUCACUGGCUUUGUGGUUCUUUUGUUAUCCAACAAAAGCUAAUUGAUACAGGUUAUCUACAAAAAUACCUCAGCAAGUAUCAACUUAAUGAUGAAAUGCUAAAAGCUUUCCUCUGAAACUGGAAACUUGCUAAGUUUGCCUGCUACCACUUCUAUUUGACCUUGAAUGGAUACCUUAGCCAAUGCAAUAAGGCAAGAAAAAGAAAUAACAGAAAUAAGGAUAAAAAAAGAAAGAAAGCUGUCAUUUAUGUACAUAGCAAAUCCUAAAGAACCUUCAGAUCAAGUUUUGGAAUUUUAUCUAGGUCACUGAAUUCAAAUCAACACACAUAAACCAAUUGUAUGUUCUAUAUACCAGUAACAAAAAUAAUUGUAAACUGAAAUGUUUAAAUAUAACAUCUGGCUGGGCGUGGUGGCUCAUGCCUAUAAUCCCAGCGCUUUGGGAGGCCAAGGCGGGCAGAUCAUGAGGUCAGGAGAUCGAAACCAUCCUGGCUAACACAGUCAAACCCCGUCUCUACUAAAAAUACAAAAAAUUAGCCAGGCGUGGUGGUGGACACCUGUAGUCCCAGCUACUCGGGAGGCUGAGGCAGGAGAAUCGCUUGAACCCAGGAUGCAGAGGUUGCAGUGAGCCGAGAUUGAGCCGUUGCACUCCAGCCUGGGCAACAAGAGCAAAACUCUGUCUCAAAAAAAAAAAAAAUGCCUUUUUGAUGGGGUACCAGCUGAACCUACUAAUGACACAACCGUGUUAGAAAGUCUGCACCUUUUUUCAGCUUCAAAAGAGUUUCUAAUAGAGUGGGAAUUGUCAAGUAAUCAAGGCAUGGAAAUAAUCAUAUUUAAGUUAUAAUUAAGUGUUUUAAUAUCUAUUAUUUGGGGGAAGGGAAUUAUUAGCAAUAGCCAAGUUCUUUUUUUUUUUUUUUUUUUGAGACGGAGUCUCUCUCUGUCUGUCGCCCAGGCUGGAGUGCCGUGGCGCGAUCUCAGCUCACUGCCACCUCCGCCUCCUGGUUCAAGCAAUUCUCCUGCCUCAGCUUCUCCAGUAGUUGGGGCUACAGGUGCCUGCCAACACGCCUGGCUAUUUUUUU